AAGACAUUAAGAAAUACUAUGACAACAUCUUCCCAAAAAAGCCAAAAAGUAAUAACUGUGAUUAAUGGCGAGUUAAGAGAAAUCAGAGAACAUAAUUCAUGUUGAAACGUUUGGAAUUUUAACUUCUCAAACUUCAGCUCUGGUUUUUGACCAGCACUCAGAACUGCUCUCAGGAGUCAUCCACGUGCUCAGUGGUUGCUGCUCUCUUCAGAGAUUAUAAUCUCCUUCAAGCAGAGACUCAUCUUCUUGCACAACUCUGAAUGCCACUGAAGUCAGAAACUGCACAGCCAUCAACACCGAGAUAAUGCAGAAGAUCCUAAUGAAUUUUGCAAUUCUGUAUAUGAAAGAACAGCUAGGAGGGCCAUGAUCUGCCCCUUUGCCAGCCAUGGGAGUUAAAUGUAGAGAAGACAGCCUCGGGCAUGGAUCUGCAGUCACUGCCAGUGAUCAUUUAAGUACACUAUUCUCACACAGAAGAAGCAGCAGAGAGAAACAGAUUGUGACUGGGCUUUUCUCAGAACCAGGUCUAAUUCACACAGAAAGAUCGUGUGGACCAGAACUACCCAUGCUGGCCAUGAAAUUGAUGUCCUUCAACUGAUGCCCAAGCAGUCUUAAGUGAUGUCAAGCUGCUUGAAGAUUCCUCCUUGUGAUCCUACACUCAUGCAGCCUAUUCUCUGGAGAAGAGUGCUCAGCUUGGG
This 695-nucleotide long non-coding RNA is filed under the name Coturnix japonica (Japanese quail). RNAcentral describes it as "lncRNA (ENSCJPG00005008180.1)". The record is from RNAcentral. Lineage: Eukaryota; Metazoa; Chordata; Aves; Galliformes; Phasianidae.